CUUGAUCGAGCCGAGCCACAGCGGAUCGGCGGUACGGCCCUGGCCGUACGUGGCCAGCAGCGCCUCGGCCUC
Molecule: antisense RNA, 72 nt
Filed under: Streptomyces bingchenggensis BCW-1
Lineage: Bacteria; Bacillati; Actinomycetota; Actinomycetes; Kitasatosporales; Streptomycetaceae
Description: ASpks TB sRNA
Rfam family: ASpks TB sRNA
Source: Rfam by way of RNAcentral